GACACGACCGUACCGCAAACCGACACUGGUUCGCGAGAUGAGUAUUCUAAGGCGCUUGAGAGAACUCAGGAGAAGGAACUCGGCAAAUUGACACCGUAACUUCGGAAGAAGGUGUGCCUUUAGUAGGUGAAGGGAUUUACUCAUGGAGCCCAAUGAGGUUGCAAAAAAUCGGUGGCUGCGACUGUUUAUUAAAAACACAGCACUCUGCAAACACGAAAGUGGACGUAUAGGGUGUGACGCCUGCCCGGUGCUGGAAGAUUAAAUGAUGGGGUGCAAGCUCUUGAUUGAAGUCCCAGUAAACGGCGGCCGUAACAAUAACGGUCCUAAGGUAGCGAAAUUCCUUGUCGGGUAAGUUCCGACCUGCACGAAUGGCGUAACGAUGGCCACACUGUCUCCUCCUGAGACUCAGCGAAGUUGAAAUGUUUGUGAUGAUGCAAUCUCCCCGCGGAAAGACGGAAAGACCCCAUGAACCUUUACUGUAGCUUUGUAUUGGACUUUGAACAGAUCUGUGUAGGAUAGGUGGGAGGCUUUGAAGCAGGGUCGCUAGAUCUUGUGGAGCCAACGUUGAAAUACCACCCUGGUGUGUUUGAGGUUCUAACCUAGUCCCGUAAUCCGGGUUGGGGACAGUGCAUGGUAGGCAGUUUGACUGGGGCGGUCUCCUCCCAAAGUGUAACGGAGGAGUUCGAAGGUACGCUAGUUACGGUCGGACAUCGUGACGAUAGUGCAAUGGCAUAAGCGUGCUUAACUGCGAGACUGACAAGUCGAGCAGAUGCGAAAGCAGGACAUAGUGAUCCGGUGGUUCUGUAUGGAAGGGCCAUCGCUCAACGGAUAAAAGGUACUCUGGGGAUAACAGGCUGAUACCGCCCAAGAGUUCAUAUCGACGGCGGUGUUUGGCACCUCGAUGUCGGCUCAUCUCAUCCUGGGGCUGUAGCCGGUCCCAAGGGUAUGGCUGUUCGCCAUUUAAAGAGGUACGUGAGCUGGGUUUAAAACGUCGUGAGACAGUUUGGUCCCUAUCUUCCGUGGGCGCUGCAGAUUUGAGGAAGCCUGCUCCUAGUACGAGAGGACCGGAGUGGACGCACCUCUGGUGUAUCGGUUGUCACGCCAGUGGCAUUGCCGAGUAGCUAUGUGCGGAAGAGAUAACCGCUGAAAGCAUCUAAGCGGGAAACUCGUUUCAAGAUGAGAUCUGCCGGGGCCUUGAGCCCCCUGAAGAGUCGUUCAAGACCAGGACGUUGAUAGGUCGGGUGUGGAAGCGCAGUAAUGCGUUAAGCUAACUGAUACUAAUUGCUCGUGCGGCUUGACCCU
RNAcentral lists this ribosomal RNA (1302 nucleotides) under metagenome. RNAcentral describes it as "bacterial LSU rRNA". It matches the Rfam family "Bacterial large subunit ribosomal RNA", at positions 1635 to 2925 of the family's 2925-position model. The record is from RNAcentral.